AGAUGAAAUCAGGAGAUGUCCUUACUGAAUCAUCAGAGCUGAACUGGUGAUGGAGAAACAGGUUUACACUUUAGGUGACAUGAAUGAGUUGAAGGGAAGUUAUGAGUUGUUUCUGAGAGACAAAGACCAAGCUCCUUUUUUGUGUAGCUGACAGCUGGUAACUGUGCAGGGGCAGCUAGGGCAUUAACAGAGAAAGGUGGACACAAAGAUAUACUUUUCUUUCUUACUCUCAUAUAAAAUAUUUAGCUUUUAUUAAAUAGUUAUCUGAAUCUCACAACCAAAGUUUGUAUAAUAAUACACAAGAUUGGCUGUAGACCAUUG
Oreochromis aureus is the source of this 321-nucleotide long non-coding RNA. Lineage: Eukaryota; Metazoa; Chordata; Actinopteri; Cichliformes; Cichlidae. The record is from Ensembl.